CUACGGGCCGCUCCAGUGAGGAAUAUUGCACAAUGGGGGGAACCCUGAUGCAGCAACGCCGCGUGGAGGAUGACGCAUUUCGGUGUGUAAACUCCUUUUAUAUGUCAAGAAAAUGACGGUAGCAUAUGAAUAAGCACCGGCUAACUCCGUGCCAGCAGCCGCGGUAAUACGGAGGGUGCAAGCGUUACUCGGAAUCACUGGGCGUAAAGGACGCGUAGGCGGGGUGGAAAGUCAGGUGUGAAAUCCUAUAGCUUAACUGUAGAACUGCACUUGAAACUUCUAAUCUAGAGUAUGGGAGGGGGAGAUGGAAUUAGUGGUGUAGGGGUAAAAUCCGUAGAUAUCACUAGGAAUACCUAAAGCGAAGGCGAUCUCCUGGAACAUUACUGACGCUAAGGCGUGAAAGCGUGGGGAGCAAACAGGAUUAGAUACCCCAGUAGUC
This 439-nucleotide ribosomal RNA is filed under the name uncultured bacterium. RNAcentral describes it as "partial 16S ribosomal RNA". It matches the Rfam family "Bacterial small subunit ribosomal RNA", at positions 339 to 795 of the family's 1533-position model. The record is from RNAcentral.